AAGCGUUGUUCGGAAUUAUUGGGCGUAAAGCGCGUGUAGGCGGUUUGUUAAGUCUGAUGUGAAAGCCCUGGGCUCAACCCAGGAAGUGCAUUGGAUACUGGCAGACUUGAAUACGGGAGAGGGCAGUGGAAUUCCUGGUGUAGGAGUGAAAUCCGUAGAUAUCAGGAGGAACACCGGUGGCGAAGGCGGCUGCCUGGACCGAUAUUGACGCUGAGACGCGAAAGCGUGGGUAGCAAACAGGAUUAGAUACCCUGGUAGUCCACGCCGUAAACGAUGGGUACUAGGUGUCGCGGGUAUUGACCCCUGCAGUGCC
RNAcentral lists this ribosomal RNA (313 nucleotides) under uncultured delta proteobacterium. Its description in RNAcentral is "bacterial SSU rRNA". It matches the Rfam family "Bacterial small subunit ribosomal RNA", at positions 536 to 847 of the family's 1533-position model. Lineage: Bacteria; Deltaproteobacteria. The record is from RNAcentral.